RNAcentral lists this ribosomal RNA (441 nucleotides) under uncultured bacterium. Its description in RNAcentral is "partial 16S ribosomal RNA". It matches the Rfam family "Bacterial small subunit ribosomal RNA", at positions 338 to 795 of the family's 1533-position model. The record is from RNAcentral.
CCUACGGGAGGGCAGCAGUGGGGAAUAUUGCACAAUGGGGGAAACCCUGAUGCAGCGACGCCGCGUGAGUGAAGAAGUAAUUCGUUAUGUAAAGCUCUAUCAGCAGGGAAGAAAAUGACGGUACCUGCGUAAGAAGCCCCGGCGAACUACGUCCCAGCAGCCGCGGUAAUACGUAGGGGGCAAGCGUUAUCCGGAUUUACGGGGUGUAAAGGGAGCGUAGACGGCAGUGCAAGUCUGGAGUGAAAGGCGGGGGCUCAACCCCCGGACUGCACUGGAAACUGGACGGCUGGAGUGCAGGAGAGGUAAGUGGAAUUCCAAGUGUAGCGGUGAAAUGCGUAGAUAUUAGGAGGAACACCAGUGGCGAAGGCGGCUUACUGGACUGUAACUGACGUUGAGGCUCGAAAGCGUGGGGAGCAAACAGGAUUAGAUACCCUUGUAGUC